Molecule: long non-coding RNA, 586 nt
Organism: Choloepus didactylus (southern two-toed sloth)
Lineage: Eukaryota; Metazoa; Chordata; Mammalia; Pilosa; Megalonychidae
Exons: 3
Source: RefSeq, a predicted model, not a curated record
CGCCGGCAUUUGCCCCCGACAAGUAGCGCUUCAGAUACUCGGCCUUGGAGAGCGGCGGAGCUGCCGCCAUGGCAGCGGCGAGGGCGAAGAGACGGCUCGGCGCUGGGGACAAAAUUAUUAAACGCAAAACGGACGGCCUUGACUUGAAGAGGUGUGGCCAGAACCGGAAGUGGCAGAGAGUGUUGGAACUGCCCGGGGUGACAGGUGACGCAGUUGCAGACUAACAAGAGGCGGGACGUGCACACCGCCGGGCGCACUCGACAUCCCUGUGAAGGCGCAAUCAUGUUUCUUGUCUUCGUCCAUCCAUCUGUUCAUUCAGCAAACUAUGCAGGAAGUGCUAGCCGUGAGAUGAGGAAACCAAAGCUUGGAGAGGUUAAGGAAGUUGCCCAACAUCACACAGCUAGAUAGCAGCAAAGCAAGACUCAAACAUAAGCCACAUAGCUCUUGGAAGCAGAGGCCAACAAAUGCCCUUCCCCAACCCCAGCAGAAGACUGAAAGCUUCUCUGAAGAGGUCACCACAGCACUCUAUGGACUGGGGGACAUUAGCACAGAUGAAGCUGGAGGGAAAGAAAUUGAAAACAAGGGG